This is a non-coding RNA of Plectropomus leopardus (leopard coralgrouper), 329 nucleotides long. The record is from RefSeq and is a predicted model, not a curated record. NCBI's taxonomy places the organism in Eukaryota, Metazoa, Chordata, Actinopteri, Perciformes, Serranidae.
GUUUCAGAGAUGCACCAGGACAUUCAGCAACAAUUCAGCCUGGACAGAUAGUAAUAUCUGAUACUGAUGAUAUGGAUCCACCUGAAACAAAUCCAGACAAGACUUCUUGCUACAGUAAAUACACAGACCUGUAUGCACCAGGUGUGGAGGAAGAGGAGGAGGAGCUGGUUGCAGUCAAUGUGGAGAAUUUCCAACACACAGCAGUGUAAAAUGAGCUUUUGACAGUGGCAUUCUAGUGUUUUCAUUGUGCAGUAUUUCUGGCAUUUAAAUAAUUUUUGUAAAAGUGGCAAAUUGUGCACUGUCUGAAAUAUCUAUUAAUUAGAUCACUU